GAUGAACGCUAGCGGCAGGCUUAAUACAUGCAAGUCGAGGGGCAGCACGGUUAGCAAUAACUGGUGGCGACCGGCGCACGGGUGCGUAACACGUAUACAAUCUACCUUAAACAGGGGGAUAGCCUUUCGAAAGAGAGAUUAAUACCCGUAAUAAAUUGAACGGCAUCGUUUGAUUUUGAAAGCUCCGGCGGUUUGAGAUGAGUAUGCGUCUGAUUAGCUAGUUGGUGAGGUAACGGCUCACCAAGGCGACGAUCAGUAGGGGAUCUGAGAGGACUAACCCCACACUGGUACUGAGACACGGACCAGACUCCUACGGGAGGCAGCAGUAAGGAAUAUUGGUCAACGGAGGCAACUCUGAACCAGCCAUGCCGCGUGCAGGAUGACGGCCCUAUGGGUU
Molecule: ribosomal RNA, 397 nt
Filed under: uncultured bacterium
Lineage: Bacteria
Description: bacterial SSU rRNA
Rfam family: Bacterial small subunit ribosomal RNA
Source: RNAcentral